Long non-coding RNA from Oncorhynchus keta (chum salmon), 151 nucleotides. RefSeq lists it as uncharacterized. Lineage: Eukaryota; Metazoa; Chordata; Actinopteri; Salmoniformes; Salmonidae. The transcript has 3 exons. The record is from RefSeq and is a predicted model, not a curated record.
ACAGUUCACUGUCAGGUUCUGGAACAUUCUCUCUAGACAACAGUUCACUGUCAGGUUCUGGAGCAUUCUCUCUAGACAACAGUUCACUGUCAGGUUCUGGAGCAUUCUCUAUAAACAACAGUUCACUGUCAGGUUCUGGAGCAUUCUCUCU